This 253-nucleotide ribosomal RNA is filed under the name uncultured bacterium. RNAcentral describes it as "partial 16S ribosomal RNA". It matches the Rfam family "Bacterial small subunit ribosomal RNA", at positions 524 to 776 of the family's 1533-position model. The record is from RNAcentral.
UACGUAGGGUACGAGCGUUAAUCGGAAUUACUGGGCGUAAAGCGUGCGCAGGCGGUUUUGUAAGCCAGAUGUGAAAUCCCCGGGCUCAACCUGGGAAUGGCAUUUGGGACUGCAAGGCUUGAGUGCGGCAGAGGAGACUGGAAUUCCUGGUGUAGCAGUGAAAUGCGUAGAUAUCAGGAGGAAUACCGAUGGCGAAGGCAGGUCUCUGGGCUGACACUGACGCUCAUGCACGAAAGCGUGGGGAGCAAACAGG